Molecule: ribosomal RNA, 497 nt
Filed under: uncultured bacterium
Lineage: Bacteria
Description: partial 16S ribosomal RNA
Rfam family: Bacterial small subunit ribosomal RNA
Source: RNAcentral
GAUGAACGCUGGCGGCGUGCCUAAUACAUGCAAGUCGAGCGAACAGACGAGGAGCUUGCUCCUCUGACGUUAGCGGCGGACGGGUGAGUAACACGUGGAUAACCUACCUAUAAGACUGGGAUAACUUCGGGAAACCGGAGCUAAUACCGGAUAAUAUAUUGAACCGCAUGGUUCAAUAGUGAAAGACGGUUUUGCUGUCACUUAUAGAUGGAUCCGCGCCGCAUUAGCUAGUUGGUAAGGUAACGGCUUACCAAGGCAACGAUGCGUAGCCGAACUGAGAGGGUGAUCGGCCACACUGGAACUGAGACACGGUCCAGACUCCUACGGGAGGCAGCAGUAGGGAAUCUUACGCAAUGGGCGAAAGCCUGACGGAGCAACGCCGCGUGAGUGAUGAAGGUCUUCGGAUCGUAAAACUCUGUUAUUAGGGAAGAACAAAUGUGUAAGUAACUAUGCACGUCUUGACGGUACCUAAUAAGAAAGCCACGGCUAACUACGUG